Molecule: non-coding RNA, 114 nt
Organism: Picea glauca (white spruce)
Lineage: Eukaryota; Viridiplantae; Streptophyta; Pinopsida; Pinales; Pinaceae
Source: Rfam
CAUGUCUACAACAUUAAUGCAUCAUAUCCCAUUAGAGCUCCACAGUUAUGUGCACUUGGGAUAGAGUAUUACUAGGAUGGGUGACCUAUCGGGAAGUCCUAGUGUUUUACAUGC